CUCCCUCCCUGGUGAUGUCCCUGAUCAUCCAUCAUGCCUUGCUGAUACAAUCCAGCGCCAUAAACUGUCUUCAGGGAGCAUGGGUGGCCAACAGACGAGACAACGUGGCUGUUCUUAAUCAGCUUUUCCCAGUGGGAGGAAGUCCUGUUUCCUUUGGAUUCCAGCUCUCCAUCAUUGUUCACCUGUAAGAUGAAGAACAUCAAAACUUGUCCUAAUUCUGCUCUCCUAGGUCACCUUUUACCCAUGGAAAUGAUAGAACAUCCUGAUAUGCAUCUUCAAAUAUAUUUCAUUUUUCUAUCAGCAAUUCAUGAAUGUUUCCACUGAAGAUAUUGAAUAAUAUUGAAGAAAAAUAUGGAAGAUCAUAGGACAUUCUUAGUUUAAACAUCUUGUCUGAUAAUGAAGUGAAAACUGGUAUGUCAUUUAAAUUUACAUUCCCAUACUAAUGAUACUUAACAUUUUUCACCAAGUUUGUUAAAUAAUUUACAUCUCUACUCUUCAGUAUAACUUUAGACUUCUUAUUCUUAUAUCCUCAAAGGUUAUCUCUGUAAUCUUCCUGAAAAUCACUUCAAUUACUUAACUACAGAGAUUUUAAGUGAGGCUUUAACCAUUCUGUCACUCAACUCACCUGCCUCAGCCUAAGUGCUACAAUGGACUUUACAUUAAUAUAUAAAUGGAUAGAUACUCUGUGUGUGGGUUUUUAUAAAUUUAUCAUCAAUGAACACCAGCAAGCUAAUUUUCAAUCUCUCAAAUCAUAAGAGUAACUAACAUAUCACAACCUUAAGCUAACUCAUGACUAAAUUCAUUAUCUUUCUCAAAUUUCAAUUAUUCUUGUUGCUUCUCACAUUUUCCAAUUUGCCCUAAGAGUUUCUUUUCAGAUUUAUUUAAUCAUGAGAGACACAGAGAGAGGAAGAGAUGGAGACACAGGCAGAAGGAGAAGCAGGCUCUUCACAGGAGCCUGAUGCAGGACUCAAUCCAGGAUCCCGGAAUCACGACCUGAGCCCAAGGCAGCCACCCAACCGGUGAGCCACUAGGCACCCCUGCCCUAAGAGUUUCUUACAUCAUUAUUACCAGUAUGGUAAUGUUACCAAUAUGGUUAAAAAAAAAAUCUUCAAUAUUAAGAAUUAAUAGAUCAUUUGAUUCAAGUUCAUUUCUUAAUAUUUUCUUGAUGAUGAUAUAUAUGACUUAGUAUAGAAAAUUUGAUACAGUGGUUUUUUUAGAUUAAAUAACCUAAUUUAUUUUCUCCAGAUUGUGUACUAGAAGUUGGAUGGAACACUAUAGUGUGGAAAAUAAUUUUGCCAAAUUUCAUUCCCAACCAGUCUCCAUCAAAAUUUUAUCUUUUUCCUGUUUCAAUAUAUUCAUGUGACAUUUUUUAAGUUGUUAAAAACUAUUUAUUUGAAAGUCUCAAUGAGCACCCUGG
RNAcentral lists this long non-coding RNA (1417 nucleotides) under Canis lupus familiaris (dog). RNAcentral's name for it is "lncRNA (ENSCAFG00845012712.1)". The record is from RNAcentral. Lineage: Eukaryota; Metazoa; Chordata; Mammalia; Carnivora; Canidae.